Potamilus streckersoni is the source of this 74-nucleotide non-coding RNA. Lineage: Eukaryota; Metazoa; Mollusca; Bivalvia; Unionida; Unionidae. The record is from the annotation of a GenBank genome assembly.
CACUCCAGUGGCCUAGUGGUUAGAGCAUCUGUCUCUGAUGUGGGAGGUCGUGGUUCGAAUCUCCAGCUGAGUCA